UGGGGAAUCUUGGACAAUGGGCGCAAGCCUGAUCCAGCCAUGCCGCGUGGAUGAUGAAGGCCCUAGGGUUGUAAAAUCCUUUCGUUGGGGACGAUAAUGACGGUACCCAAAGAAGAAGCUCCGGCUAACUUCGUGCCAGCAGCCGCGGUAAUACGAAGGGGGCUAGCGUUGUUCGGAUUUACUGGGCGUAAAGCGCGUGUAGGCGGGUCGUUAAGUUGGGGGUGAAAUCCCGAGGCUCAACCUCGGAACUGCCUUCAAAACUGGCGACCUGGACUCAAGUAGAGGCAAGUGGAAUUGCGAGUGUAGAGGUGAAAUUCGUAGAUAUUCGCAGGAACACCAGUGGCGAAGGCGACUUGCUGGACUUAUGGUGACGCUGAGACGCGAAAGCGUGGGGAGCAAACAGGAUUAGAUACCCCGGUAGUCCCUGAGCGGGCUGGCAAGGCGCAU
RNAcentral lists this ribosomal RNA (447 nucleotides) under uncultured bacterium. Its description in RNAcentral is "bacterial SSU rRNA". It matches the Rfam family "Bacterial small subunit ribosomal RNA", at positions 355 to 825 of the family's 1533-position model. The record is from RNAcentral.